Molecule: ribosomal RNA, 207 nt
Filed under: uncultured bacterium
Lineage: Bacteria
Description: partial 16S ribosomal RNA
Rfam family: Bacterial small subunit ribosomal RNA
Source: RNAcentral
CGUGUAGGCGGUUUGUUAAGUCAUGUGUGAAAUCCCUCGGCUCAACCGGGGAACGACGCAUGAAACUGGCAAGCUAGAGUACCAAAGAGGGGGGUGGAAUUCCCAGUGUAGCGGUGAAAUGCGUAGAUAUCGGGAGGAACACCUGUGGCGAAGGCGGCCCCCUGGUUGGAUACUGACGCUGAGACGCGAAAGCGUGGGGAGCAAACA